AAUCGUCUAAGCCUUCUAUAAUCCUGUGUUCUUUAAUAGUAUGAAUCACAAUCAAACUGGUCAGUAGUGACUAAGACUAAACAUGGGAUGGACUAGGAGCAGUGGUAGAUCUUGAAAGUGCUCUUUUGACACCCGACUACCUUUUUCUUGUCCAAUUAGAUUUCUGAUCUUUAGGUGUGUCCUUGAAGAUUCACAAUUUCACAUGCCUCUGUGCCAUCUCCGGACAGCUUGCAUGUGUCGCUACCACUCUAGUUCUAUUUUUGAAAAUCAUGACUAAUUCCCGUCUAUCACCACCGCCAUCCAACGAAUGACCAUUCAUUUAAAGCCGACAUCAAUUUGAGUUGACAAUCCAGAAGGCCGAAGGGCCUUGACGUUGGCACUUGAAAAUUAUCUGAUACGCAAAAUUUAGAUCAAUGUGGUCAUGUCUCUAUCGGUUUUCGCCUGUUUUUUUGUGACAAUUUUCUUCUUAAUUGAUGUACGAGGUCCAUUUAAAGAAUAACAAUUAGAUCAACAUGCCUUAAAUUUUGACUUAAAUCCAAGAUAUUCUUUACUGUAUUGUUUGUGUACAAAUCCUACUUACAAAGAAAAGAGAAUGCACAUGUUAACUCGGGAGCUGGCUGUGUUUUUUUAUUCUGUUCUUUAUCAGAUUCAUUUUUAUCUGUUUGCCAAUGAGUCCACUAAAGUCCGUGCCUCUAGUAGCCAGGAUUUAUAAGAGAGGGAGUAUUUGUCAACUUGGAGAGGGAGGGGG
RNAcentral lists this long non-coding RNA (748 nucleotides) under Hordeum vulgare. Its description in RNAcentral is "long non-coding RNA (HVUL_LNC021173)". Lineage: Eukaryota; Viridiplantae; Streptophyta; Magnoliopsida; Poales; Poaceae. The record is from RNAcentral.